This 4215-nucleotide long non-coding RNA is filed under the name Setaria italica (foxtail millet). Its description in RNAcentral is "long non-coding RNA (SITA_LNC005268)". Lineage: Eukaryota; Viridiplantae; Streptophyta; Magnoliopsida; Poales; Poaceae. The record is from RNAcentral.
CCUCGGCGGCGAGGAUCGGCGGCAGCCGGAGGCGCGGGGUAGGCGGCCGCGGUUCCUGUGCCUGCACGGGUUCCGCACCAGCGCCGAGAUCAUGCGCAAGCAGGUGGUGGGCAAGUGGCCCGCCGACGUCACGGCGCGCCUCGACCUCGUCUUCGCCGACGCGCCCUUCCCCGCCGAGGGCAAGUCCGACGUCGACGGCAUCUUCGACCCGCCCUACUACGAGUGGUUCCAGUUCGACAAGGUCCGCCCCGCGCGCCCGGCCAUUGCUCCUCUCCCAUCCCCUCCUCUGAUCCGAAUCCGAUCCUUCCCCGAUUAUAACUCGUCAAAUUAAAUUUAUGGUUGGGUCCGUCCUUUUCUUUGUAAUCCUUUUCAUGCGCGUGCCGUUAUUUGUGUGGAUCUGAGAUUGGUCAGCUUGUCCAUGUGCUCAUCACCGAUCUCUGCUUAUUGAAACAGGAGUUUACAGAGUACAAGAAUUUCGACAAGUGCCUCGCCUACAUCGAGGAGCUCAUGAUCAAGGAUGGCCCCUUCGACGGAUUGAUGGGUUUCUCCCAGGUACGAAGCUCAGUUUGAGAAUUGGGACCACUUCUCCUUCAAAUACUGUACUGAUUAACAAGGUUCGCGAUUAACGUUUGUGAAUCAUGAUGUUGAUACCAGGGUGCCAUUCUUUCCGCGGCGCUUCCCGGGCUCCAAGAACAAGUGAGUUCACGGUUCAUAUAUGCUAUAUAUACUUCAAAGCAGAGCAUGUUAAGCUCUGCUGCUAGUUCUUAGUGCUUGCAUCUUUCACUAACCAUAUCGCCUGCUUUGUGCUCUUUUUCAUGGCAGGGGCUGGCCCUGACUAGAGUUCCCAAGAUCAAGUACCUGAUCAUCAUCGGCGGCGCCAAGUUCCUGUCGCCGACUGUGGCCGAGAAGGCGUACGCCAACAAGAUCGCGUGCACCUCGCUUCACUUCAUCGGUAACCGAAUGACUUGGCGCGUCAUUCCAUUUCCAUUGCUAUGCUAGUUUGUUGCUUGGUUGCGUCCAAAGCGUUGUUGCUUUGGUAGGGACGUCGUUGCGUGCUGCCGUUUCCGCAUCUUUUUGCUCUUGCCGGCAUGUCAGCUUAAUUGAUGGAGACGGCAUUGCAUAUUUGCAUUCUGCUAUUGCUUUGGCUUUAUGUUUAGACCGGCGUCUUCUUGUCUAGUCAUGUAGGCGAUACGCUGCAUAAAAAUUCCUCUAGAAAGAGAGAAUAAUGCGUGAAUAAGAAACUAACGAGUAUGCCCGCUUUUGCAUCCAUUGUCGAGAUUAUUUUUCUCGUCCACAAAGUAAUGGUUGCCAUACCCCUUGACGUUCCAUCAUGCAUUUAAACUAGUGCUGUCGUGCUAAACUUUAGAUGCACAUGGUCCAAUUCUAGAAGUCUUUUCAGUUCAUCAUUAUUAUUUAAUUUGGUAGAUGUAUUAUAGGUGAACCGGUGGUUAGUAUACAAUGAAGCACAAGCAGCAGUGAAGACUGAACACGUUUCCAUGCUCUGUGCAGGUGACAACGACUUCCUGAAAACCCAUGGUGAGAAGCUCAUAGAAUCAUGCGUCGACCCGUUCGUCAUCCGUCACCCAAAGGGCCACACAGUUCCAAGGCUCGGUAAGCUCCUACGCCUUUCCAAUUUUCGGUGCUAAUGCUUUUCAACCGAACCAAAUUUCUCUUCUUCAUUCAGUCUAAUCCAGGGUUCAGCACCCUUUGAUUUUGCGUGGAUGUGGAACAGACCUUUACUAACCGAGUCUUCCAGUAGCAGUUAAUGUUUUUGCCGAAAUAUUAACGGCGCCUGACCACCAAACUAACCACAAUGUAUGACUGUUCUUUGUCGCGCAGAUGACAAGAGCCUUCAAGUCAUGCUCCGUUUCCUUGAGAAGAUUGAGAAGGAGACAUCUGAGCAUGCGUCCACCGAUGUUGACGAAAAAGAAGUGUGCUUGUGAUAGGACGUAGGUUAUUAGCAUCUGAAUACUCAUGAUACUAGUAUUGUAGAAAUAAACAUACAACUGUAGCCUCGUUAUUUUGAGGCACGACUAUUCUGUACCUAAAUGAAGAAUAAUCAUUUUGUAUCUUCUAUUCACUUCAAUUUGCUGAAUACUCCCUCCGUUUCGAACUGCAGGCUGUUUUAUCUUUUUUUAGAUUUAUAGGUAUUAUUAUACAUCUAUAUAUAGACUAGAUAUGCACAGUGGAAUGGAGGUGCACAGUGGAAUGGAGGGGUAAUAUCUGAUCCACAGGUUCAUGACACGGAGCUAGCGCAUAUCACACAUUGAAAUGCUACAUCGCUGUAGUUUGCUCAGGCCUGUACAAAGUUUAGGCCAAUUUGACUAACUUGGCUUCCGUGCAUAUGGACAGAAAAAUAUAUAGUUCGCAGACAUAUAGAGUGUGCUAUCCCAAACAAAAACUACUCCAAUAAUCCUAUUUGCUGGAUUUUUAAUAGAGCAACUGUGCACUGGCCAGCCAGAGAUGCAUGCAGUGGAAUUUAAAAUCCCUCGGUCCUGUUUGAGACGAAUGCAAUUGGGUUGGUGGGGGGAAUGCGUUCGUUUUCAUGUCCAAAUAAAAAAGAAAUUAGUUCGACAUGGGGAAUUAAGUAACACACACGAUUGAAAAUUAGAAGUGACAGGAAAAAAUUAUCUCAGUGUUUAGGUACUGGAGAAAAGAAUAUCACUUCAAGCAAAAACAGAAAGGUCCAUCUAGGCCUUUGAAUCUAAAACAAACGUCUUUGAUUAACAACCCCAUAACCUUGGAGAAGAAAAAGGAGAAGCUGACUGGUGUUCUGAAAAAAAAAACCCCGCGUGCCGGAACGGUGAGAAAUGUCCGGGGUGCAUUUUAGCAGCCCUAAAACACAAUGACGCCCGAGCAACUCCAAGAGUACUCUAAAAAAUUCUUCCCCAAAACUAUGUAUUGGGGGUUCUUUAAAAAAAAAUUUCCCCUAAAAACAUAUCAAUCCACAACAGAUCGCUAAUAAAUAGCCCCCAAUAUUUUAAAACAGGCCACGUCAUCGUAUUGGGCCCAUCGGAAGGGACGCGCGAGUGUGCGGGAAUCAGGAUUGGAGGAGGAAUGCCAACGCUAAAAUAUACGCGGUGGUAGGCUGUUUUUUAGCGUUGCUAAAAAAUUGGGGAAGGUUUGGGUGGACUGUUGGAGUUCGUUUUUUCUCCUUUUUCCCUAAAAAAAAUAUUGGGGGUAAGAUUAGCGGCCUCUUGGAGUUGCUCACAAUUGAAACGAGGGUUAAGCUCACGUUAAAGUUCAUCAAAAACUGUGGAGCGCAGAGUAUACCACUCCCACGAAUUAUUUGAGGCCAUUCAAACGAACCAGCUACUUGCAUAGAAAUAAAACCUGUACAACAACUCAUCUGCAAAUUCUUCUUCUUCUUCCUUUUUUGUGAAGAAAGCUCAGACAGCCCUGCUGAAUCUGUGCGGGGCAUGGUUGAUCAACUUGCAGAUAAACUGCAACAGCCACGUCAGUACGCUAGAUCAGUCAUUUUCCCUCUGUAUAAGAUUGGUUCAUUGGUUGGAUCCGUGCUCCACAAUCGUUAAUCUCGGCAGGCGGCACUUGUCUCCUCGCCGGCUGGCCAGCUUAAAACAAGACGCGACAGAAGUCACGAAGGCAUCCGCACCCCAAUCAUGGCUAUGGUUGGCUGAUCCUCCCGUGAUCUUCAGAACAAAACAGUGGCACGCCCCCCGGAGUCCCACGCCCCCCUUUCUGUCCUUGCUCCCCAUGGAUUUGAUCCGUACUCCUCCAGCGAGAUGCCCGCGGCUGCGGCCGCGGCAGCUCGCACCCUCCGCCGCGGCGCCACCAGCUUCCGUUUCUUGGGCAGCGCUCCCCUGCCACCUACCAGCCUACGCCGCCGCGCCCUCCCCCCACCAGCGCGAUCGCCGGCCGCGCCGCGGCCUGCGGCUUCGGAACGCCGGCAGCGAGGGGGAGGCGGCGCUAGCGGGGCGGCGGCGGCCGCGGUUCCUGUGCUUGCACGGGUUCCGGACCAGCGCCGAGAUCUUGCGCAAGCAGGUGGUGGGGAGAUGGCCCGCCGACGUCACGGCGCGCCUCGACCUCGUCUUCGCCGACGCGCCCUUCCCCGCCGAGGGCAAGUCCGACGUCGAUGGCAUCUUCGACCCGCCCUACUACGAGUGGUUCCAGUUCGCCGGCGAGGUCCGUUCCCCAUCGCAUUGACCAGCAAGUAGCAACGCUGGCUGCUGACAAGUUUCCUCUCCGCUGCUUCAG